Molecule: transfer RNA, 72 nt
Filed under: Heterocephalus glaber (naked mole-rat)
Lineage: Eukaryota; Metazoa; Chordata; Mammalia; Rodentia; Bathyergidae
Rfam family: tRNA
About the family: Transfer RNA (tRNA) molecules are approximately 80 nucleotides in length. Their secondary structure includes four short double-helical elements and three loops (D, anti-codon, and T loops).
Source: Rfam by way of RNAcentral
GGGGAUAUAGCUCAGGGGUAGAGUGCUUGCCUAGCAUGCACAAAGCCCUAGGUUCCAUUCCCAGUACCGCCC